RNAcentral lists this non-coding RNA (131 nucleotides) under Phytophthora nicotianae P1569. The record is from RNAcentral. Lineage: Eukaryota; Oomycota; Peronosporomycetes; Peronosporales; Peronosporaceae.
GUGAGGGUUGUGGCAUGCGUUGCCUUGUCGCUAUUCCCAGGAUGUGAAUGGUGCGUCCAUCUCAAACCAGGAGUCGACAUUGGGGCAUCGUCGUAAGACAAUGCACCGAGGUCACUAAGGAAGGGUGUACC